GCGCCAGUAGCUCAGUUGGACAGAGCAGCUGCCUUCUAAGCAGCGGGUCGGGGGUUCGAGCCCCUCCUGGCGCG
This 74-nucleotide transfer RNA is filed under the name Chloroflexota bacterium. RNAcentral's name for it is "tRNA-Arg". It matches the Rfam family "tRNA". Rfam says of the family: Transfer RNA (tRNA) molecules are approximately 80 nucleotides in length. The record is from RNAcentral. Lineage: Bacteria; Bacillati; Chloroflexota.